Molecule: transfer RNA, 69 nt
Filed under: Myotis formosus (Hodgson's bat)
Lineage: Eukaryota; Metazoa; Chordata; Mammalia; Chiroptera; Vespertilionidae
Description: tRNA-Ala
Rfam family: tRNA
About the family: Transfer RNA (tRNA) molecules are approximately 80 nucleotides in length. Their secondary structure includes four short double-helical elements and three loops (D, anti-codon, and T loops).
Source: RNAcentral
AAGGGCUUAGCUUAAUUAAAGUAAUUGAUUUGCGUUCAUUAGAUGUAAGAUAGAGUCUUGCAGUCCUUA